Molecule: non-coding RNA, 73 nt
Organism: Paxillus rubicundulus Ve08.2h10
Lineage: Eukaryota; Fungi; Basidiomycota; Agaricomycetes; Boletales; Paxillaceae
Source: the annotation of a GenBank genome assembly
GGACUGGUAGCUCAGUUGGAAGAGCAUCACUGUACUACACUGGAAGCCAUGUGUUCAAUCCCUGUGUAGUCCA